GACGAACGCUGGCGGCGUGCUUAACACAUGCAAGUCGAACGGAAAGGCCCUGCUUUUGUGGGGUGCUCGAGUGGCGAACGGGUGAGUAACACGUGAGUAACCUGCCCUUGACUUUGGGAUAACUUCAGGAAACUGGGGCUAAUACCGGAUAGGAGCUCCUGCUGCAUGGUGGGGGUUGGAAAGUUUCGGCGGUUGGGGAUGGACUCGCGGCUUAUCAGCUUGUUGGUGGGGUAGUGGCUUACCAAGGCUUUGACGGGUAGCCGGCCUGAGAGGGUGACCGGCCACAUUGGGACUGAGAUACGGCCCAGCCUCCCACGGGAGGCAGCAGUGGGGAAUAUUGCACAAUGGGCGGAAGCCUGAUGCAGCAACGCCGCGUGCGGGAUGACGGCCUUCGGGUUGUAAACCGCUUUCGCCUGUGACGAAGCGUGAGUGACGGUAAUGGGUAAAGAAGCACCGGCUAACUACGUG
This 468-nucleotide ribosomal RNA is filed under the name uncultured bacterium. RNAcentral's name for it is "partial 16S ribosomal RNA". It matches the Rfam family "Bacterial small subunit ribosomal RNA", at positions 28 to 507 of the family's 1533-position model. The record is from RNAcentral.